This 357-nucleotide ribosomal RNA is filed under the name Listeria monocytogenes. RNAcentral's name for it is "bacterial LSU rRNA". It matches the Rfam family "Bacterial large subunit ribosomal RNA", at positions 2007 to 2363 of the family's 2925-position model. Lineage: Bacteria; Bacillati; Bacillota; Bacilli; Caryophanales; Listeriaceae. The record is from RNAcentral.
AUCUGGGCACUGUCUCAACGAGAGACUCGGUGAAAUUAUAGUACCUGUGAAGAUGCAGGUUACCCGCGACAGGACGGAAAGACCCCGUGGAGCUUUACUGCAACCUGAUAUGGAAUGGUUGUACCGCUUGUACAGGAUAGGUAGGAGCCGAAGAGACGUGUGCGCUAGCAUACGAGGAGGCAAUGGUGGGAUACUACACUGGCUGUAUGACCAUUCUAACCCGCCACGCGUAGCGCGUGGGGAGACAGUGUCAGGUGGGCAGUUUGACUGGGGCGGUCGCCUCCUAAAGAGUACCGGAGGCGCCCAAAGGUUCCCUCAGAAUGGAUGGAAAUCAUUCGCAGAGUGUAAAGGCACAAG